RNAcentral lists this ribosomal RNA (441 nucleotides) under uncultured bacterium. RNAcentral describes it as "partial 16S ribosomal RNA". It matches the Rfam family "Bacterial small subunit ribosomal RNA", at positions 338 to 795 of the family's 1533-position model. The record is from RNAcentral.
CCUACGUGAGGCAGCAGUGGGGGAUAUUGCACAAUGGGGGAAACCCUGAUGCAGCGACGCCGCGUGAGUGAAGAAGUAUUUCGGUAUGUAAAGCUCUAUCAGCAGGGAAGAACAAAGACGGUACCGGACUAAGAAGCCCCGGCGAACUACGUGCCAGCAGCCGCGGUAAAACGUAGGGUGCAGGCGUUAUCCGGAUUUACUGGGUGUAAAGGGAGCGUAGACGGCAGAACAAGUCGGAAGUGAAAUACCCGGGCUAAACCUGGGAACUGCUUUGGAAACUGUGUGGCUGGAGUGCUGGAGAGGUAAGUGGAAUUCCUAGUGUAGCGGUGAAAUGCGUAGAUAUUAGGAGGAACACCAGUGGCGAAGGCGGCUUACUGGACAGUAACUGACGUUGAGGCUCGAAAGCGUGGGGAGCAAACAGGAUUAGAUACCCGGGUAGUC